ACCUGGGUGGCUCAGUGGUUGAGCAUUUGCCUUCAGCGCAGGGCAUAACCCCAGGAUGUAGGAUCGAGUCCUGCAUCAGGCU
This 82-nucleotide transfer RNA is filed under the name Canis lupus familiaris (dog). It matches the Rfam family "tRNA". From Rfam's summary of the family: Transfer RNA (tRNA) molecules are approximately 80 nucleotides in length. Their secondary structure includes four short double-helical elements and three loops (D, anti-codon, and T loops). The record is from Rfam by way of RNAcentral. Lineage: Eukaryota; Metazoa; Chordata; Mammalia; Carnivora; Canidae.